Non-coding RNA from Anthostomella pinea, 85 nucleotides. NCBI's taxonomy places the organism in Eukaryota, Fungi, Ascomycota, Sordariomycetes, Xylariales, Xylariaceae. The record is from the annotation of a GenBank genome assembly.
AAGGUAGUGAUGGAACUGGUAGACAUGGAUAGUUUAGGCCUAUUUGAUUAAAAAAAUCUUAUCCGUUCAAGUCGGAUUUACCUUA